GUGGGGGAUAUUGCACAAUGGGCGCAAGCCUGAUGCAGCGACGCCGCGUGAGGGAAGACGGUCUUCGGAUUGUAAACCUCUGUCAUCGGGGACGAUAAUGACGGUACCCGAUGAGGAAGCACCGGCUAACUACGUGCCAGCAGCCGCGGUAAUACGUAGGGAGCAAGCGUUGUCCGGAAUUACUGGGUGUACUGGGAGCGUAGGCGGGAAGGCAAGUUGUAUGGUUAAUCUAUGGGCUCAACCCAUAUCAGAGUUCAAAACUGAGUUUCUUGAGUGAAGUAGAGGUUGGCGGAAUUCCUAGUGUAGCGGUGAAAUGCGUAGAUAUUAGGAGGAACACCAGUGGCGAAGGCGGCCAACUGGGCUUUUACUGACGCUGAGGCUCGAAAGCGUGGGGAGCAAACAGGAUUAGAUACCCUAGUAGUCC
This 424-nucleotide ribosomal RNA is filed under the name uncultured bacterium. Its description in RNAcentral is "partial 16S ribosomal RNA". It matches the Rfam family "Bacterial small subunit ribosomal RNA", at positions 354 to 796 of the family's 1533-position model. The record is from RNAcentral.